RNAcentral lists this long non-coding RNA (1962 nucleotides) under Equus caballus (horse). RNAcentral describes it as "lncRNA (ENSECAG00000044454.1)". Lineage: Eukaryota; Metazoa; Chordata; Mammalia; Perissodactyla; Equidae. The record is from RNAcentral.
CCUUAGUGAUGAGGAUUUUUAGGCUGCUUAAUUUUAAAAUGGCUUAUGAUGAGGAUUUUUAGGCUGGUUAGUUUUAAAACUACAGAUGAGAUUCAGGCUCCAAGGAGUGGAAUUUGUUUGCCUCUUUGUUGGGAAACAUUUACAUUUCUAAGGGAAACCUCUAUCUGUGAAGAUGCCUCCCUCUCUGUGCCAGGAAGAGGGGGGGAUGGUCUUAUCUCUAGAGGCUCUUGGUCAAUGCCAGAGGCAAGAACUUAAGUUGGUUACUGUCUGGCAACCUCAUGUGACUGACCCUCCCCCCCACAAAUCCUCCUUUGUCUUUAGCUGAGGAUAAAAUUCAAGCGGUGACUUCUGCCAUUUACUCAAUCCGGUUUGAUUCUUAUCUACCAUUUUAACUUUUUUACAUAUUCUUUGUCUUGUAAAGAGAUGACUCACAUACCUAUGCCUUAAAUUUAGUCCUAACCCUCAAGUCGGGGCAGCAGCAGGAGCUCUGACUGCCCGUGGGUCCUGUCCCCACGCACCAGCUCUGCCUGCCCAUGGGUCCUGUCCCCAUGCCAGCGGGGGCAGCAGCAGCAGCUCUGCCUGCCCAUGGGCUCUGUCCCCGUACCAGCGGGGGCAGCAGAAGCUCUGACUGCCCAUGGGUCCUGUCCCCAUGCUAUUCCACACUAUUCUCUAAAUAAAAGAGCACUACUGCCAGAUCUUGAGAGUCUAAGAAAUCUUUCUUUCGACUCCUCGGCUCACCGACCCCGCAUCACUUAGCAUGGUGCUUCUUUCUUGUUUCUCAGUCUCCCUUAGAGUCUUAGCUCCUGCAAAUUUCUCAAGAGCACCUUGAAAUUCAGAGAUGCCAAUUUCUAGUCCUUUAAGGCAUCAUACUGUUUACUUCUCUGUGAAGGUAUGUGCCAUCCUUUCUGCAUGGCAUGCUUUCUUCUUAUCCUUCCCAUCUCUGCACAACUUAUUUUCUUAUCAGGUGGAGUAUAUUCUACUCCUACUCAUCAUUAAAGAUUCAACUCUGGAGCAAACCUUUUCAAUAGUUUUCCUAACACUCCUGAAAUCUCCCUCUCUGUCUCAAUUCCAUCCGCUGGUUUCCAUUGCAUUCAGUGUUCACCUUUAACUGUACAUUACCUUAGUGUGGUGUAAUUUCGUCUUAACUGUGACACGCUUGAGGGAAAGUACUUUGUAUCCCCAGCACCUGGAAUAGUACCUGGCACAAACAUGGCAUUCAGAAAGACCUGUGAAAUGAACGACCAUGUUCAAUGCUCCCACGGUACUUUAUACUUCUUCUCACUGCCUUGUAGUUCUUUCAUUUACAAAUCUUUCUCUACUGGAUUAUGAAACAUCCCCAACAGUUACACAAUUCUAGACACAAACUAAGUACUGUAGAAAUGUUAACUGAUGUCUAAUUUGCAAGUUUUUAUGUAUUUCAAAAUACUAUUCAAGGUUAGGAUCUAUUUCAGAGAUUAAUAUAAAACAGGAUAUAUGACUUGUUACUAUUUUAGUGGUGACCAUAAGAUGUGAAUGAGAAGAACUUGAUACUAAUUUUAUAUGGACUUACUUCCUCUUCCACAUUUAAUUUUCUUGGCUUUUCAAGAUUGUUCCUAACAAAUAUAAGUUUUAUCAAUGUCUUCUUAAGGGAAAUGGAAGAAAUAAGAGGGAAGAAGAACAGAAGAUGGAAAGCGACUUGUGACUUGUGAACCUGUGAACAGAGGAAGGAAAAGGAAAGAAUGAAAGAAGGAAAGGAAGCGGAAGGUUAGAAAAGGAUAGGCAGGUACAGAGGCAGGAGUAGUGCCUGAAAGCUGGGGUGACCGGGUCUUGAAUUGCUCUUCAAAGAAAUAGGAGAUCUUCAUCAAGAGGUGGAAGGAAACGGGGUGACUGUUAAUGAAAUCAGGGUUUCUUUUGGGGGUGAUGAAAAUGUUCUGAAACUGAUUGUGCUGACAGUUGUACCUCGCUGCGAAUAUACUAAAAACC